This is a long non-coding RNA of Pan paniscus (pygmy chimpanzee), 250 nucleotides long. The record is from Ensembl. NCBI's taxonomy places the organism in Eukaryota, Metazoa, Chordata, Mammalia, Primates, Hominidae.
UAGGAAAGGUAUUAAAAGAGGGAUAGAUGCUCAUCUGUGUUUAUUUUUUCCCUUAGGGAAUAUGGUUACAUCAGAGAACAAAUCAAAUCCUUAAACACAGAGAAAAACAACAACAAACAUUCACUAGGAAAUGAUGAAAAUUAAUAGACACACGCAUUUGUUAGAGAAACUGUCUGCUUAUGCCAGUAUUCAACAAACCAGAUAUAACUUGCAAAAAACUGACCUGUUGAUUGCCCUAAUAUAAUAUAAG